Molecule: long non-coding RNA, 911 nt
Filed under: Medicago truncatula (barrel medic)
Lineage: Eukaryota; Viridiplantae; Streptophyta; Magnoliopsida; Fabales; Fabaceae
Description: long non-coding RNA (MTRU_LNC006560)
Source: RNAcentral
AAUGCUACUUCAUCUGCUUACUAACUUUGCUUUUGAUUUAUUCCAUUUGACCAAAUUAUUCUCAUUUGUCAAGGACAUCACUAGUAGUCUAGUAGACGACAACCUCAGCUCAACAUUUUUUUUUUCAUGGUAAGUUUGCAAAAUGUCGUAUUUUAAAUUCUGCUCAAAAUUGGUUUUGUUUGAACAACGUAUUAAAUUGUGACAUGAUGAAAUGGUGACUUGAUGUGCUCAAUAUUAUUUUUUAUUACUGGAGUAUAUUCAUCAAACUCAAGUAAUUUUUAAAGUACAAACCCAAUAAAUUAAAUCAAUUGACAAAAUAAAAACACUUGUUUAUUUUUUUCAUUUAAAAAAAAAAUAGUUUGUUAUGCAUAUACAACUAAUUUUAAAAUAAAAGUGAUAGUAUAAUCAUAUAUUACACAAAAUCUCCAUGUAUUUUAUCAUAUGGGUUGGUUAGCACAUCAUAAUAUUAAUUUUUAAUUCACUCUUACAAUAUGUUAAGAUGAUAAAAUAUGAUUGAACUUACAAUUAUAUUGUUAGUAUCUUAUUAUAAAACUAUAAAAAUAUUUACAUAUACAUUUUAAAAUUUAUUUUAAUUUUAAAAGUAAAUUCCUUCCAUCCUUUUAUUUAUGAUCAAUACUUUGAUAAGAUUUUUAUAGAUAAUUUUGUAAAAACAUAAUUUCAUUUAUGUCCUUUAAAUAUCGUGAAUGUGCAAGUGAAAUUAGGUAUUUAUAAAAUAUAUUGUGACUGAGGUCAGUGAUGUGUUGAGAUAUUGCCGACAUCGGCUGAUUAUAGGGUUCAUAUAUAAUGAUGUAUCCAAAUAUCCGAGUCUGAGACCUCUUAACAUAUAUGUUUUCUUCAUUUUGGCUGAAUUGGGCCAUGAGGCCAAGAGGAACAAAAAUUACAAAUUUUAC